AUGCAGCAUGCAGUUCAAGUAGCACCCAGAGCAUGCAGCGUCAAGCCACCAAAACUGAACCUGGCCUUGUUUGCAGGAAGAACGAGAGAUCUCAAGGAGAUCAACAGUGACUCACUGUCGAGCAACAAAAAAACCAAAUAUGCAGCAAACUCAGGAAGGUCACAGCGGCCUCCAAGAGAAGUUCAACAUGGCAACGGGCGGGCGAAGCAGGUGGGGGCCAGGAGGAGGCUAGUGGUUGGCCACGGCGGUGCACUGUCAGGCAUUGCCGUCGGUGGUGGCGGGUGGCACGGCGGCGUACAGAGAAACCAGGGAGGCGCUCGUGGCCGGGGCGGAGCAGGGAGGAGGCGCACAUGGCAGGAGGUCGUCGCCGGCAGGAGGAGCUAG
This 384-nucleotide ribosomal RNA is filed under the name Triticum aestivum (bread wheat). RNAcentral's name for it is "partial small subunit ribosomal RNA". The record is from RNAcentral. Lineage: Eukaryota; Viridiplantae; Streptophyta; Magnoliopsida; Poales; Poaceae.